UACGGAGGAUCCAAGCGUUAUCCGGAAUCAUUGGGUUUAAAGGGUCCGUAGGCGGCCUUAUAAGUCAGCGGUGAAAGUUUUUGGCUUAACCAAAAAAUUGCCAUUGAUACUGUAGGGCUUGAAUUAUUGUGAAGUAACUAGAAUAUGUAGUGUAGCGGUGAAAUGCUUAGAUAUUACAUGGAAUACCAAUUGCGAAGGCAGGUUACUAACAAUAUAUUGACGCUGAUGGACGAAAGCGUGGGUAGCGAAC
RNAcentral lists this ribosomal RNA (250 nucleotides) under uncultured bacterium. Its description in RNAcentral is "partial 16S ribosomal RNA". It matches the Rfam family "Bacterial small subunit ribosomal RNA", at positions 524 to 773 of the family's 1533-position model. The record is from RNAcentral. RNAcentral also lists the same sequence under 1 other name.